RNAcentral lists this ribosomal RNA (433 nucleotides) under uncultured bacterium. Its description in RNAcentral is "partial 16S ribosomal RNA". It matches the Rfam family "Bacterial small subunit ribosomal RNA", at positions 29 to 507 of the family's 1533-position model. The record is from RNAcentral.
AACGAACGCUGGCGGCAUGCCUAACACAUGCAAGUCGAACGAGACCUUCGGGUCUAGUGGCGCACGGGUGCGUAACGCGUGGGAGCCUGCCUUUAGGUUCGGAAUAACUCAGAGAAAUUUGAGCUAAUACCGGAUGAUGUCUUCGGACCAAAGAUUUAUCGCCUUUAGAUGGGCCCGCGUUGGAUUAGCUAGUUGGUGGGGUAAAGGCCUACCAAGGCGACGAUCCAUAGCUGGUCUGAGAGGAUGAUCAGCCACACUGGGACUGAGACACGGCCCAGACUCCUACGGGAGGCAGCAGUGGGGAAUAUUGGACAAUGGGCGAAAGCCUGAUCUAGCAAUGCCGCGUGAGUGAUGAAGGCCUUAGGGUUGUAAAGCUCUUUUACCCGAGAUGAUAAUGACAGUAUCGGGAGAAUAAGCGCCGGCUAACUCCGUG